Molecule: ribosomal RNA, 301 nt
Filed under: uncultured bacterium
Lineage: Bacteria
Description: partial 16S ribosomal RNA
Rfam family: Bacterial small subunit ribosomal RNA
Source: RNAcentral
CAGCAGCCACGGGAAUACGUAGGUGGCAAGCGUUGUCCGGAAUUAUUGGGCGUAAAGGGCUCGCAGGCGGUUUCUUAAGUCUGAUGUGGAAGCCCCCGGCUCAACCGGGGAGGGUCAUUGGAAACUGGGAAACUUGAGUGCAGAAGAGGAGAGUGGAAUUCCACGUGUAGCGGUGAAAUGCGUAGAGAUGUGGAGGAACACCAGUGGCGAAGGCGACUCUCUGGUCUGUAACUGACGCUGAGGAGCGAAAGCGUGGGGAGCGAACAGGAUUAGAUACCCCCGUAGUCCCUGUCUCUUAUAC